GAUGAACGCUGGCGGCGUGCCUAAUACAUGCAAGUCGAGCGAACAGACGAGGAGCUUGCUCCUCUGACGUUAGCGGCGGACGGGUGAGUAACACGUGGAUAACCUACCUAUAAGACUGGGAUAACUUCGGGAAACCGGAGCUAAUACCGGAUAAUAUAUUGAACCGCAUGGUUCAAUAGUGAAAGACGGUUUUGCUGUCACUUAUAGAUGGAUCCGCGCCGCAUUAGCUAGUUGGUAAGGUAACGGCUUACCAAGGCAACGGUGCGUAGCCGACCUGAGAGGGGGAACGGCCACUCAGAAGCUGAGACGCGGUCCAGACACCGACGGGAGGCAGAGGUAGGGAAGCGUCCGCAAUGGGCGAAAGCCUGACGGAGCAACGCCGCGUGAGUGAUGAAGGGCUUCGGGUCGUAAAACGCUGUUAUUAGUGAAGAACAAAUGUGUAAGUAACUAUGCACGUCUUGACGGUACCUAAUCAGAAAGCCACGGCUAACUACGU
RNAcentral lists this ribosomal RNA (496 nucleotides) under uncultured bacterium. RNAcentral's name for it is "partial 16S ribosomal RNA". It matches the Rfam family "Bacterial small subunit ribosomal RNA", at positions 28 to 506 of the family's 1533-position model. The record is from RNAcentral.